Cricetulus griseus (Chinese hamster) is the source of this 1665-nucleotide non-coding RNA. NCBI's taxonomy places the organism in Eukaryota, Metazoa, Chordata, Mammalia, Rodentia, Cricetidae. The record is from RefSeq and is a predicted model, not a curated record.
GCAGCAGCAGCAGCAGCAGCUUCGUCGGUGUCGGGUGUCGCGGCCGCUGCCCUGUCUCUACCCUGGAAAGGCAGGUUAGAGUAAGAACCGGUGCGCUGCACAGCCCUCUGGGCCUGCUUACGUCGUCUCUGGGUGGUGACGACAUUAGAAACGGCGUGCGUGCUAACGCCCCAGAGUAGCCUAGUGGUCCUGGGGACACAACCCAAGUGCCUCCGCCAGGAAGCCUCACAUGAGCAGGAAGGCCUGUGUGUGUGCGGAAGACAUUCCACCUGGUCUGGGCAUGCUGGGCAGUGGUCUCAGAAGAUCCAUCCCUUACACUUCCUCAUGCACAGGAACCUCCACUAAUGGAUGUGAAUGAAACUUACUGGCACACCUACGCUGCAGCCCCAUGCAAGCAAGCAAAAAGCAAAGUAUUGAAAAUGGAAGCUCCUGAUACCCGGGAAACAACACACUACAUGGAGGGAAGUCUCAGAGCAGCUCCGAUGGCCACUGUUACAGACUCCAGACUUGAUCUACAGAGAGAAAACAAGAGUCUCCACUCCAGCCACCAGAAGUCUAAGUCUUCACCAAGAAAGAUCACAUCUGAGGAAAGAUUCCUCUAGCUCGGCUCCACGAGAAGAUGUUCCCCACUCUCACCCUGGACCAAAUUAGACUGGCUUUCUGUGGUAAAUUGAAUGGGAAUGCUAUCUUCUACAUAUCCAGUAGAGGGCACCAGCUGCUUAGUGGAAAUUCCACAUGGAAAACCUAGAUGGCAUGCAUUUAAGGUUUUUUUCCCCUCCUUCCUUGAUUUUCUGUGUGGAUAUCUAGUGGCAGAGUAAACACAGAGUGAAGACCAUAAUGCAAACUGGCAUAUCAAUGAUAGGUUAAAGAGAAAUUUGAACUAAAAACUAGUCCAAGUAAAUUACAUGCAUGCCCAAAUCAAAACAGAAAAACAGUUUUGAGUUUCCACGGUCAGACACACACUUUCUCAAAUCAUUUCAGCCCAAGUGGCAGUGCCUAGGGUUCCACCAUCCGGUUAUGACCUGGAGUGCUUACCCCUUGCUUGCUGGAGGUUAUCAGCAUUACACAGAGCCAGCAAACUGCUGGGAAGGUCAGGGCUGUUUUAUUAUCAUUAGUGAGCACAACGACACAUAAGGACUUGGUGUACCUGUGACGACAGCGGCGUAGAAACCUCAUUAUUUUUCGAGCAGCUUGGUCCUGCUUUUUGGUCAGCAAACUGCCCCUGAAAAAGCCAGAAUACUACUGUCACAAGAAAGGUUCCGUAAAGCUCCCAGUGCAGACACUGAGAAGUGACCUGAGCUACAGCGGGAGGAGACUUUCAGUUAAAUGGUUUGUGUCACACAUCCAACUGCAAAGCACACACUGCUCCCACAGUGCUGAGACUGGCCUGGACACCCCAAGCUUUUGUUUUCUUUCCUCAUUUGAGGCAGGGUCUCAUGCAUCUCAAGCUGGCAAACCCAGUGUAGAGGCUUUCUGCCCCUCCUGCCUUCAUCUCCCAAGUGCUGGGACUACAGGCACAUUUGACUUUGACCAGUUUACUUGAUGUUGGAUAUGGAGCCCAGGGCUUUGUAUAUGCUAGGCAAGCACUCUGCCAACUGAGAAUAUGCAGACUGAAAAUAAGAGGAUCCCUCCAUAUGCUCUUUUUUUUUUGGGGGGGGGGUUUGA